UCAUCGGAAUCGUUCUCAAGCCGCGACGAAGUCUUUGCAAAACUCGAGGAAAACAGUGGAAUUGUGGAUUGUCAGAGUACACGUGACACAAUGAUGUACGCGGCGAGCUGCCAUCGUGACGGAGUGGAUUCUGUAAUUCACGUACUAUCCGACACUAUUUGGAAGCCAAUUUUUGACGAACAAAGUCUCGAACAGGCGAAACUAACAGUUUCCUACGAGAAUCAAGAUCUACCGAAUCGAAUUGAAGCCAUCGAAAUUCUCCUUACUGACUGGAUUCAUCAAGCGGCUUUUCAGAAUAAUACUAUAGGAUAUCCGAAAUUUGGCAACAAUUCGAUGGAUAAAAUUCGAGUUUCUGAUGUUUAUGGGUUUUUGAGCAGAGCUCAUACUCCUCAAAGAAUGGUUGUUGGAGG
RNAcentral lists this small RNA (410 nucleotides) under Caenorhabditis elegans. RNAcentral's name for it is "Unclassified non-coding RNA Y71G12B.45". The record is from RNAcentral. Lineage: Eukaryota; Metazoa; Nematoda; Chromadorea; Rhabditida; Rhabditidae.